UUGUAACUACAGCGUUUCCCUCUUAAUAGAUCCUCAAUAAGCAGUCAAUGAGUGACUCACGGAGCAGGGUGUCCACCUCAUCAGAACACCUGAUUGUGAGUGGUGCAGCUUCAGUGUGCAGGUAAGUACCUGGUAUCUCUCUUGGGGUCUUUGAGUUCAAUUUGCUGUAAGAUCUAAGGCUCAUCUGAGAGGUGUGGGGCCAGUUUGCAGUCCUGCUUUCUGUUACUCCCUCUGCAGAAACAUAGCACGAGAGCACAAGAGCACGAGAGAGGUGGGAGUUGGUGUCUCCGUUCCAGGCCACUGUUCAUUCACCUUGGAUUCCUUAAGGAGAAGACCUAAGAUUCUUGAGGUUUGGGCAUCCUGGCUAUCUGGCUCAAGCUAUAAACUCUGGAGACAACGAAGGGCAAGGGGAAUGGGACAUGAAGGGAAAAGUUUUCCACUUGUUAAUUAACUCCCUUAGAUUAGGGAGUUGCAGGGCCUGCAAGAAAGGCAGAACCAGCCAUCUGA
Molecule: long non-coding RNA, 507 nt
Filed under: Microcebus murinus (gray mouse lemur)
Lineage: Eukaryota; Metazoa; Chordata; Mammalia; Primates; Cheirogaleidae
Description: lncRNA (ENSMICG00000048431.1)
Source: RNAcentral